This is an RNA transcript of Chroicocephalus ridibundus (black-headed gull), 3621 nucleotides long. RefSeq lists it as uncharacterized. The transcript has 9 exons. The record is from RefSeq and is a predicted model, not a curated record. NCBI's taxonomy places the organism in Eukaryota, Metazoa, Chordata, Aves, Charadriiformes, Laridae.
CAUCUGUCGUUCCCUUCAGCGGCCAGUCCGGCCCAAACCACGACAGAUUGAUUGGUGCCCAAGGUGGGGCUCGACCAGGGCUCUGACAGAUUGCCUCAAUAGUUUGAGUUCCAGCUUGCCCAGAGAUGGAAACAGGCAGCUCACACCCUAUUGGUUUUGGACAGAAUAUUGUGUUGUCUCUUUGUAGGGUUUUGUUUCAAGUUAGUUGAUACAACGCUGCUUAACCUGCUGUAUGCGUUGUAUAAUUUAUUUGCUCUUUGUGUUUGUAUGCGGUGGUUUAAACAUGCUAGUCUGCUGUUGUGUUUAAUGCUGAUCCGUGCUGUGACUGAUGGGAUAACUUCUUUACCUGCUUCCCUUGGGCGUUGUGUAAUGGUUUCUGUUACUAAUUACACUUUCAACUUUACCUUGGGAAAGUUUACUUUGCUCUAUACUGCUCAUUCCGAAUUGUCACCAUCAGAGCUAGGAGAUGGCUGCCUUUGGGAUCUCGGAAAUGGUUGUUGCUUGCUUAAAAUCAUGAUUUUGUUGUUGAUUAUCCUGAAUGUGUUGCAGGGGUGGUUUCUUACUAAAUGUUGUUGCAGGAGUAGGUAUUGUAUGACGUGCACUGCCACUACUCAAACUCCAUCAGCACUGGUACAAGUUGCCCCGGUGACCAGAAAGGAAAAAAAAAAAAUGGGGUCUGUUCGCUCCCCUGCCUGUUAUGACAAAGACCAGAUAAAGCCAGAUACCCUGCUGUCUGAUGAAGAAGAUGGGAAUUGGUCCUUCUGAUGAAGAUCCAGGAAUGGGUCCCUUCUAAAGCAGAUCAGAGGGUCCUUCUCGGGCAGUGUCAACACAGGAGGAGGAAUCAGACGGAGGGGUAAUUGUUAAAUCCUUCUCUGUGAAGGACUUGUGAAAUAUGAGAAAGGACUUUAGCUGCCGUGAAGGGGCAGCUGUGUAAAAAGUGACUGAUAAAACUGAGAAAAUGAUUGAAAAAAAAUGAGAAACUGUUUGAUAGACUGUUUAGGAUGGCAGAAAGAUCCCGCUCUUCCCCUGCAUGGACCCACGUCACAGCCGUUAGGAGAAGAUGCCCUCUUAGGAAGCUGGCUCAAGAGAGACAGAACAUACUACGAGAUAUCCUGUGGCUUUGCCUCAGUGACUAUGGAGAGGACAUGAGGAAGCGGGAUAGAAGACCUCCCUCGGCCCUACAGGCAGGAGUGUGUGAGUUGCAAGGUACAAGAGAAAGAAGAAAGAAUUCUUCCAGGAGGAUGACUGCUCCGGCCCACACGGAGCGGUUUUCUGCUCCGAGUAGGAACUCAUCUGCUAAUUGUAGAUGUUGAGCCAAGGAGUGAUCAGCAAGACUCGCUCACCCUUUUAACAGCCCUGUAUGGCCAGUGCAAAAGUGUGACGGAGACUGGAGAUUAACAGUAGACUAUCGUGGCCUGAAUGAAGUCACAGCACCACUGAGUGCUGCCGUGCCGGACUUGCUAGAACUGCAAGAUGAACUGGAGUCAAAGGCAGCCAAAUGGUAUGCUACGAUUGACGUUCCUCAUGCAUUUUUCUCUAUUCCUUUAGCAGCGGAGUGCAGGCCACAGUUUGCUUUCACCUGGAGAGGCGUCCAUUACACCUGGAAUCGACUGCCCCGGGGUGGAAACACAGCCCUGCUAUUUGCCGUGGACGGAUCCAGACUGCACUGGAGACGGCUGGAGCUCCGGAACACCUGCAGUGCAUUGAUGACAAUCUUGUGUGGGGUAAUAGAGCAGCAGAAGUUGUUAAGAAAGCUUUUGAGCGCGAAGUCCACCACAUAACCCACCAAAACGGCCGCUGUCACAACCGGGAACACCCCCAGCACUGGCUCUUUCAUGGAGAGGAAACAGGCUGUUUUAUUGUCCCUGGCCCUCUCCGAGCCCUUCCCAUCUCUGUGCCUGACCCCGCAGGCUCUUGUCCGCUGGAUUUUUGCCAGGACCCAUGAGUGACCGUGGACAGAUGCAGCACUGGCUGCUGGCUGCAACGUUUCCCGGAUGCGGGUGCUGCCUGCGCCCUGGCAGCUCCCUGGGGCUCUGCUGCGUGCUGGGCAUGACGGCCACUCGCUUGCAGGGCUGCCGGCGUUGGGGGAACCAGCUGACAUUGCGGCUGCUCCCACUGCUUGUCCCAUUCUACACCGCAGCGUGAUGAGUGGUGUUUUACUGCAGAUGUGGGUGGUGUUUGUGCUGAAGUAAAACAAACUAAAGGACGUCCAGGCCCUGGACAUGAAGACUUUGCUGUGUGGAAGCCGAGAGCUGUCCCUGAAGGACAACGGACACCCCAGGACAUCCAAGCCUCUCUCCUCGGACGGCACGAUCCGGGUGUGGAUGUACGGACCGGUGCUGGGCCCUGCUCUGCUCCUCUGCUCCGGGGCCUCACGCAGGCAGCUGCGUUCAAAAUGUGCUGCGGUGGGAGCAGAGGCCACUCCAGGGACCCGCCCCGGCUCCUGCAGCCCCGUCGGUGGACAGUGAAGCCGGGCAGAGGGAGCGAUGCCAUCCCAGAGCUGCUGGUCCCUCGGGAGGUGUUGGUGGCCCCGGUGAUGCCUGUGUCGGUGCCCAUGUGCGGGGAAGGCUCAUCCCGGUGCCCAGGCGAGGAGCGUGGCCCCGGGGCGGGGGAGGCCGUGCCUGGUGAGGGAUGGACGGAAGACCCCCAGCCACACCGGGACCUGCGUGGGGUAAGGAGCCCUGGGAAGGAGCCGGGCUGCCUGCGCUGAGGCUGAUGCUGACACCUGCCCUGCACCUGGUUGGGGACAGGGGACAGUGCGGCUUGCGCCCCCCCGGAGACCUGUGAGGACUGCAGCGCUCCAGGUCCGUAUGGCUUCAGGUCGGUUCUUUGGGCCCCCAUUUGUUUCGGGUCCAGCUCGGUUUGGGCCCCCGUUUGUUUCUCUUUGUUUGUGGGUUCGCUCCCAUUUGUUCCCAUUUGUUCCAGGUCCAGCUCAUUUGUGGCUCCUGUUUGUUUCUGCUCUGGUUCCAGUCCAGCUGAUGGAUGGCUCCAGCUCCAUUCCAGCUCAUGGAUGGCUCUGGCUCAUUUCAGCUCCUGUUUGCUGUGCCUCCAGCUCAUUUGCACCUUCAGUUUUGGCUCCAGCUCGUUUGCGGCUCCUGUUUGUUUCUCCUCUGAAUUCAGUCCGGCUGAUGGACGGCUCCAGCUCAAUUCCAACUCAUUUGGACUCCAGCUCAUGGAUGGCUCUGGCUCGUUUCAGCCCUUGCUCGUUGCAGCUACAGCUCAUUUGCCCCUUCAGGUCCAGCUCCUGGUGGGUUUCAUCUCCUGGGCAGUUUUGGCUCCAGCCCAUCUCCAGCUCCAGCCCAUUGAUGGUUCCAGCUCGUUUUCGCCUCCAGCUCUUGGGUGGUUCCAGCCCCAGCCCAUCACAGCUUGUGCUUGUUCAACUGCUCCUGGCUUUUGGCCAGGUCGUAAAUCAAUCACUGUCAUGGCCUGUAUAUGAAUAUGAACUGUCAUAAUUGUACACGUGUUGCCUAAUGAGUGUGUUUAUUGUUCAAUGACUAGUCCGGUGAAUAAACAGUUGGACUCUCAAAUGAAGUGGGAAAAGUGCCUUUUCGCCCAGAGACUAUCUCAGGCGUUUAAUUCGGCCUGGUGCAUGCCGGCGUCCCGCACUUUGGGGAACAACGC